UUUCUUCCGGUAAAAUUUCUAAAGUAUCAUAAAAAGUGUCAACAAGUCCCUGCACACCUUGUAAUUUAUAGUCAGGAUGAAGUAAAGUAGCAAUUAAAAAAAAUUGAGGAGUAGGAAAAAAAUAUUUUUAGAAUUUUUCAAUCAUACAUUCAAUUGCAACUCUAAAUUUGUCAA
Long non-coding RNA from Solanum tuberosum (potato), 174 nucleotides. RefSeq lists it as uncharacterized. NCBI's taxonomy places the organism in Eukaryota, Viridiplantae, Streptophyta, Magnoliopsida, Solanales, Solanaceae. The transcript is spliced from 2 exons. The record is from RefSeq and is a predicted model, not a curated record.